RNAcentral lists this ribosomal RNA (463 nucleotides) under uncultured bacterium. RNAcentral's name for it is "bacterial SSU rRNA". It matches the Rfam family "Bacterial small subunit ribosomal RNA", at positions 1 to 507 of the family's 1533-position model. The record is from RNAcentral.
CAGUAGUCACGAGUUUGAUCCUGGCUCAAGAACGAACGCUGGCGGCAUGCCUAACACAUGCAAGUCGAACGAGACCUUCGGGUCUAGUGGCGCACGGGUGCGUAACGCGUGGGAAUCUGCCCUUAGGUUCGGAAUAACUUCGGGAAACUGAAGCUAAUACCGGAUGAUGACGUAAGUCCAAAGAUUUAUCGCCUAAGGAUGAGCCCGCGUUGGAUUAGCUAGUUGGUGAGGUAAAGGCUCACCAAGGCGACGAUCCAUAGCUGGUCUGAGAGGAUGAUCAGCCACACUGGGACUGAGACACGGCCCAGACUCCUACGGGAGGCAGCAGUGGGGAAUAUUGGACAAUGGGCGAAAGCCUGAUCCAGCAAUGCCGCGUGAGUGAUGAAGGCCUUCGGGUUGUAAAGCUCUUUUACUCGGGACGAUAAUGACGGUACCGAGAGAAUAAGCCCCGGCUAACUCCGUG